Molecule: ribosomal RNA, 253 nt
Filed under: uncultured bacterium
Lineage: Bacteria
Description: partial 16S ribosomal RNA
Rfam family: Bacterial small subunit ribosomal RNA
Source: RNAcentral
UACAGAGGGUGCGAGCGUUAAUCGGAAUGACUGGGCGUAAAGGGUGCGUAGGUGGUUUAUUAAGUUAGGUGUGAAAGUCCUGGGCUUAACCUGGGGAUUGCGCCUGAUACUGGUAGGCUAGAGGACUGUAGAGGGAAGUGGAAUUUCCGGUGUAGCGGUGAAAUGCGUAGAUAUCGGAAGGAACAUCAGUGGCGAAGGCGACUUUCUGGACAGUGACUGACACUGAGGCACGAAAGCAUGGGGAGCAAACAGG